This 44-nucleotide unclassified non-coding RNA is filed under the name Pseudolactococcus piscium. Its description in RNAcentral is "Lactococcus piscium ctRNA_pT181". Lineage: Bacteria; Bacillati; Bacillota; Bacilli; Lactobacillales; Streptococcaceae. The record is from RNAcentral.
UGUUUUAUUUAGGAAAAUAUGAUAAGAUUAAGGUAUAGUACGAG